AGAAGUUUAGGUUAAUGUUAAACCAAAGGCCUUCAAAGCCUUAAAUAAAGGUUAAAAUCCUUUAACUUCUG
This 71-nucleotide transfer RNA is filed under the name Mantella bernhardi. RNAcentral describes it as "tRNA-Trp". It matches the Rfam family "tRNA". From Rfam's summary of the family: Transfer RNA (tRNA) molecules are approximately 80 nucleotides in length. Their secondary structure includes four short double-helical elements and three loops (D, anti-codon, and T loops). The record is from RNAcentral. Lineage: Eukaryota; Metazoa; Chordata; Amphibia; Anura; Mantellidae.